UACGAGGGGGGCAAGCGUUGUUCGGAUUUAUUGGGCGUAAAGGGUGCGUAGGCGGUUUGGCAAGUCUGAUGUGAAAUCUAUGGGCUCAACCCAUAGUCUGCAUCAGAAACUGCCGGGCUUGAGUAUGGGAGAGGUGAGUGGAACUGCGAGUGUAGAGGUGAAAUUCGUAGAUAUUCGCAAGAACACCAGUGGCGAAGGCGGCUCACUGGCCCGAUACUGACGCUGAGGUGCGAAAGCGUGGGGAGCAAACAGG
Molecule: ribosomal RNA, 253 nt
Filed under: uncultured bacterium
Lineage: Bacteria
Description: partial 16S ribosomal RNA
Rfam family: Bacterial small subunit ribosomal RNA
Source: RNAcentral